GAACGAAGUAGCAAUACUUAGUGGCAGACGGGUGAGUAACAUGUAGGUAUCUUCCCUUUGGUGAGGAAUAACACGAGGAAACUUGUGCUAAUACCUCAUAAGUCUUUACGGAGAAAGCUUUAUGCGCCAUUGGAUGAGCCUGCACUUGAUUAGUUUGUUGGUGGGGUAAUGGCCUACCAAGACUGUGAUCAAUAGCUGAUCUGAGAGGAUGAUCAGCCACAUUGGGACUGAGACACGGCCCAAACUCCUACGGGAGGCAGCAGUAGGGAAUAUUGCACAAUGGAGGAAACUCUGAUGCAGCGAUGCCGCGUGAGUGAAGAAGGCCUUUGGGUUGUAAAGCUCUUUCGUCGGGGAAGAAAAUGACUGUACCCGAAUAAGAAGGUCCGGCUAACUUCGUGCCAGCAGCCGCGGUAAUACGAAGGGACCUAGCGUAGUUCGGAAUUACUGGGCUUAAAGAGUUCGUAGGUUGUUAAAAAAGUUGGUGGUGAAAUCCCAGAGCUCAACUCUGGAACUGCCAUCAAAACUUUUUAGCUAGAGUAUGAUAGAGGAAAGCAGAAUUUCUAGUGUAGAGGUGAAAUUCGUAGAUAUUAGAAAGAAUACCAAUUGCGAAGGCAGCUUUCUGGAUCAUUACUGACGCUGAGGAACGAAAGCAUGGGUAGCGAAGAGGAUUAGAUACCCUCGUAGUCCAUGCCGUAAACGAUGUGUGUUAGACGUUGGAAAUUUAUUUUCAGUGUCGCAGCGAAAGCAGUAAACACACCGCCUGGGGAGUACGACCGC
RNAcentral lists this ribosomal RNA (777 nucleotides) under uncultured Pelagibacteraceae bacterium. RNAcentral describes it as "bacterial SSU rRNA". It matches the Rfam family "Bacterial small subunit ribosomal RNA", at positions 64 to 889 of the family's 1533-position model. The record is from RNAcentral. Lineage: Bacteria; Pseudomonadati; Pseudomonadota; Alphaproteobacteria; Candidatus Pelagibacterales; Candidatus Pelagibacteraceae.